RNAcentral lists this long non-coding RNA (353 nucleotides) under Homo sapiens (human). RNAcentral's name for it is "HSALNT0062340". Lineage: Eukaryota; Metazoa; Chordata; Mammalia; Primates; Hominidae. The record is from RNAcentral.
UUCUGCCUGAGUCUCUUGGAGUGUUUACUUCUUGGAUGCUCCUGCAGGGAAGCUGUUAUUCUGAGAGGAUUUUAAACCAAACAGAGGGGCCAAGCAAAGGGCUUGAUGGUGACUAGUUACAAAGUUGUUGCUUCAGGGAGAGAGGAAAAGAGACGAUGGGCCAUAUUACUAAAAGAAAGGACUGUAGCAGUUCAAGGAGAGGAAUUAGUAAAUAAGCUGAAAAUGUGAAGUCAUGCAAAGAUUUGUUUGAAAAGCAAAACGUUUCAAUAAAAGGUCUUCCUGGAUUAAGAAUCUAAGUAUGAUUUUCAUGAACCACCACCACUAAAGAUCAGAUAAUAUUAUUCAUGCUGCAA